AUUGAACGCUGGCGGCAGGCCUAACACAUGCGAGUCGAGCGGAUGAAGGGAGCUUGCUCCUGGAUUCAGCGGCGGACGGGUGAGUAAUGCCUAGGAAUCUGCCUGGUAGUGGGGGAUAACGUCCGGAAACGGGCGCUAAUACCGCAUACGUCCUGAGGGAGAAAGUGGGGGAUCUUCGGACCUCACGCUAUCAGAUGAGCCUAGGUCGGAUUAGCUAGUUGGUGGGGUAAAGGCCUACCAAGGCGACGAUCCGUAACUGGUCUGAGAGGAUGAUCAGUCACACUGGAACUGAGACACGGUCCAGACUACUACGGGAGGCAGCAGUGGGGAAUAUUGGACAAUGGGCGAAAGCCUGAUCCAGCCAUGCCGCGUGUGUGAAGAAGGUCUUCGGAUUGUAAAGCACUUUAAGUUGGGAGGAAGGGCAGUAAGUUAAUACCUUGCUGUUUUGACGUUACCAACAGAAUAAGCACCGGCUAACUUCGUG
This 484-nucleotide ribosomal RNA is filed under the name uncultured bacterium. RNAcentral describes it as "partial 16S ribosomal RNA". It matches the Rfam family "Bacterial small subunit ribosomal RNA", at positions 30 to 507 of the family's 1533-position model. The record is from RNAcentral.